Molecule: long non-coding RNA, 707 nt
Filed under: Salmo salar (Atlantic salmon)
Lineage: Eukaryota; Metazoa; Chordata; Actinopteri; Salmoniformes; Salmonidae
Description: lncRNA (ENSSSAG00000105284.1)
Source: RNAcentral
GAACUCAGCCCCAGGACCAGCUGGAUGAGGGUCCUGAGACUUCAGUGUGUUAGUAGAACAGGUUAGUGAACUCAGCCCCAGGACCAGCUGGAUGAGGGUCCUGAGGCUUCAGUGUGUUAGUAGAACAGGUUAGUGAACUCAGCCCCAGGACCAGCUGGAUGAGGGUCCUGAGACUUCAGUGUGUUAGUAGAACAGGUUAGUGAACUCAGCCCCAGGACCAGCUGGAUGAGGGUCCUGAGGCUUCAGUGUGUUAGUAGAACAGGUUAGUGAACUCAGCCCCAGGACCAGCUGGAUGAGGGUCCUGAGACUUCAGUGUGUUAGUAGAACAGGUUAGUGAACUCAGCCCCAGGACCAGCUGGAUGAGGGUCCUGAGGCUUCAGUGUGUUAGUAGAACAGGUUAGUAGAACAGGUUAGAGAGUGAGAGAAGUGUGUGUGUGUUCUACUCUAAACAGAAACUGAUAUUCAUCUGUUCAUCUGAGAGAGGGAGAGAAUGUGAGUCAUCAUUCAGGAUGGUUUGAACAAGGUGUGCUGGAAACACCCCCACGUAUCGGAAUGCUGCUCUGGCCUUCAUCCACACACACACACACACACACACACACACACACACACACACACACACACACACACACACACACACACUCACACUCACACACACACACACACACACUCACACUCACUCACACUCACACACACACACACCACGCUAC